GGGGUACACGAGCGGCGAACGGGUGAGUAACACGUGGGUGAUCUGCCUUGCACUUCGGGAUAAGCCUGGGAAACUGGGUCUAAUACCGGAUAUGACCACUGAUCGCAUGGUCGGUGGUGGAAAGAUUUAUCGGUGCGAGAUGGGCCCGCGGCCUAUCAGCUUGUUGGUGAGGUAACGGCUCACCAAGGCGACGACGGGUAGCCGACCUGAGAGGGUGACCGGCCACACUGGGACUGAGACACGGCCCAGACUCCUACGGGAGGCAGCAGUGGGGAAUAUUGCACAAUGGGCGAAAGCCUGAUGCAGCGACGCCGCGUGCGGGAUGACGGCCUUCGGGUUGUAAACCGCUUUUGACAGGGACGAAGCGCAAGUGACUGUACCUGUAGAAUAAGGACCGGCCAACUACGUGCCAGCAGCCGCGGUAAUACGUAGGGUCCGAGCGUUGUCCGGAAUUACUGGGCGUAAAGAGCUUGUAGGCGGUUCGUCGCGUCGUUUGUGAAAACUUGGGGCUCAACCUUAAGCUUGCAGGCGAUACGGGCGGACUA
Molecule: ribosomal RNA, 545 nt
Filed under: Nocardia sp. AL0710
Lineage: Bacteria; Bacillati; Actinomycetota; Actinomycetes; Mycobacteriales; Nocardiaceae
Description: bacterial SSU rRNA
Rfam family: Bacterial small subunit ribosomal RNA
Source: RNAcentral